AGUGAACGCUGGCGGUAGGCCUAACACAUGCAAGUCGAACGGCAGCACAGUAAGAGCUUGCUCUUACGGGUGGCGAGUGGCGGACGGGUGAGGAAUACAUCGGAAUCUACUUUUUCGUGGGGGAUAACGUAGGGAAACUUACGCUAAUACCGCAUACGACCUACGGGUGAAAGCAGGGGAUCUUCGGACCUUGCGCGAUUGAAUGAGCCGAUGUCGGAUUAGCUAGUUGGCGUGGUAAAGGCCCACCAAGGCGACGAUCCGUAGCUGGUCUGAGAGGAUGAUCAGCCACACUGGAACUGAGACACGGUCCAGACUCCUACGGGAGGCAGCAGUGGGGAAUAUUGGGCAAUGGGCGCAAGCCUGAUCCAGCCAUACCGCGUGGGUGAAGAAGGCCUUCGGGUUGUAAAGCCCUUUUGUUGGGAAAGAAAAGCAGCAGGUUAAUACCCCGCUGUUCUGACGGUACCCAAAGAAUAAGCACCGGCUAACUUCGUG
RNAcentral lists this ribosomal RNA (492 nucleotides) under uncultured bacterium. Its description in RNAcentral is "partial 16S ribosomal RNA". It matches the Rfam family "Bacterial small subunit ribosomal RNA", at positions 29 to 507 of the family's 1533-position model. The record is from RNAcentral.